UAUUGCGCAUGGCGUGCUGCGCAGCGACGCGCGUGAGGGCGAAACGCUGACGCAGCGACGCCGCGUGAGGGAAGAAGGCCUUCGGGUCGUAAACCUCUGUCAGGAGGGAAGAACCGUGAUGGUAAUAAUCAGCCGCAGUCUGACGGUACCUCCAGAGGAAGCACCG
RNAcentral lists this ribosomal RNA (166 nucleotides) under unidentified oil field bacterium DVIB85. RNAcentral describes it as "partial 16S ribosomal RNA". It matches the Rfam family "Bacterial small subunit ribosomal RNA", at positions 332 to 495 of the family's 1533-position model. The record is from RNAcentral. Lineage: Bacteria; Deltaproteobacteria.